Molecule: ribosomal RNA, 222 nt
Filed under: uncultured bacterium
Lineage: Bacteria
Description: partial 16S ribosomal RNA
Rfam family: Bacterial small subunit ribosomal RNA
Source: RNAcentral
AGUAAUACCUAGGAAUCUGCCUGGUAGUGGGGGAUAACGUUCGGAAACGGACGCUAAUACCGCAUACGUCCUACGGGAGAAAGCAGGGGACCUUCGGGCCUUGCGCUAUCAGAUGAGCCUAGGUCGGAUUAGCUAGUUGGUGAGGUAAUGGCUCACCAAGGCUACGAUCCGUAACUGGUCUGAGAGGAUGAUCAGUCACACUGGAACUGAGACACGGUCCAG